Molecule: ribosomal RNA, 253 nt
Filed under: uncultured bacterium
Lineage: Bacteria
Description: partial 16S ribosomal RNA
Rfam family: Bacterial small subunit ribosomal RNA
Source: RNAcentral
UACGGAGGGUGCAAGCGUUAUCCGGAUUUACUGGGUUUAAAGGGUGCGCAGGCGGCUAUGUAAGUCAGUGGUGAAAUCUCCGGGCUUAACCCGGAAACUGCCGUUGAUACUAUAUAUCUUGAAUGCUGUGGAGGUAAGCAGAAUAUGUCAUGUAGCGGUGAAAUGCUUAGAUAUGACAUAGAAUACCUAUUGCGAAGGCAGCUUACUACACAGAUAUUGACGCUCAUGCACGAAAGCGUGGGGAUCAAACAGG